Molecule: ribosomal RNA, 465 nt
Filed under: uncultured bacterium
Lineage: Bacteria
Description: partial 16S ribosomal RNA
Rfam family: Bacterial small subunit ribosomal RNA
Source: RNAcentral
GACGAACGCUGGCGGCGUGCUUAACACAUGCAAGUCGAACGGAAAGGCCCUGCUUGCAGGGUACUCGAGUGGCGAACGGGUGAGUAACACGUGGGUGAUCUGCCCUGCACUUCGGGAUAAGCCUGGGAAACUGGGUCUAAUACCGGAUAGGAGCCAUUUUUAGUGUGAUGGUUGGAAAGUUUUUUCGGUGUAGGAUGAGCUCGCGGCCUAUCAGCUUGUUGGUGGGGUAAUGGCCUACCAAGGCGGCGACGGGUAGCCGGCCUGAGAGGGUGGACGGCCACAUUGGGACUGAGAUACGGCCCAGACUCCUACGGGAGGCAGCAGUGGGGAAUAUUGCACAAUGGGCGCAAGCCUGAUGCAGCGACGCCGCGUGGGGGAUGACGGCCUUCGGGUUGUAAACUCCUUUCGCUAGGGACGAAGCUUUUUGCGACGGUACCUAGAUAAGAAGCACCGGCUAACUACGUG